RNAcentral lists this ribosomal RNA (497 nucleotides) under uncultured bacterium. RNAcentral describes it as "partial 16S ribosomal RNA". It matches the Rfam family "Bacterial small subunit ribosomal RNA", at positions 28 to 507 of the family's 1533-position model. The record is from RNAcentral.
GAUGAACGCUGGCGGCGUGCCUAAUACAUGCAAGUCGAGCGAACAGACGAGGAGCUUGCUCCUCUGACGUUAGCGGCGGACGGGUGAGUAACACGUGGAUAACCUACCUAUAAGACUGGGAUAACUUCGGGAAACCGGAGCUAAUACCGGAUAAUAUAUUGAACCGCAUGGUUCAAUAGUGAAAGACGGUUUUGCUGUCACUUAUAGAUGGAUCCGCGCCGCAUUAGCUAGUUGGUAGGGUAACGGCCCACCAAGGCGACGAUGCGUAGCCGACCUGAGAGGGUGAUCAGCCACACUGGAACUGAGACACGGUCCAGACUCCUACGGGAGGCAGCAGUGGGGAAUAUUGGACAAUGGGCGAAAGCUUGAGCCAGCAAGACCGCGUGGGUGAAGAAGGUCUUCGGGGUGUAAAGCCCUUUUGUUGGGAAAGAAAAGAUGUAGGGUAAUACCCCGCUGUCUUGACGGUACCCAAAGAAAAAGCCACGGCUAACUGCGUG